This 25-nucleotide non-coding RNA is filed under the name Rattus norvegicus (Norway rat). Lineage: Eukaryota; Metazoa; Chordata; Mammalia; Rodentia; Muridae. The record is from RNAcentral.
UGGCAUGAUCCCUUAGUCCUGGGCU